RNAcentral lists this ribosomal RNA (254 nucleotides) under uncultured bacterium. RNAcentral's name for it is "partial 16S ribosomal RNA". It matches the Rfam family "Bacterial small subunit ribosomal RNA", at positions 524 to 776 of the family's 1533-position model. The record is from RNAcentral.
CACGUAGGGUGCAAGCGUUGUCCGGAAUUAUUGGGCGUAAAAGGCUUGUAGGUGGCCACGCCAAGUCGGAUGUGAAAUCUCCCGGCUCAACUGGGAGGGGUCAUUCGAUACUGGCGGGCUCGAGGCCGGUAGGGGGAAGUGGAAUUCCCGGUGUAGUGGUGGAAUGCGUAGAUAUCGGGAGGAACACCAGUGGCGAAGGCGGCUUCCUGGACCGGUUCUGACACUGAGGAGCGAAAGCGUGGGGAGCGAUCCGG